GUUGUCGUGGCCUAGUGGUUAAGGCGAUGGAUAAGAAAUAUCUAGGGAUCUUCCCGCGCAGAUUCGAAUCCUGCCGACAUCU
RNAcentral lists this transfer RNA (82 nucleotides) under Dreissena polymorpha. It matches the Rfam family "tRNA". From Rfam's summary of the family: Transfer RNA (tRNA) molecules are approximately 80 nucleotides in length. Their secondary structure includes four short double-helical elements and three loops (D, anti-codon, and T loops). Lineage: Eukaryota; Metazoa; Mollusca; Bivalvia; Myida; Dreissenidae. The record is from Rfam by way of RNAcentral.